UACGUAGGGUGCGAGCGUUGUCCGGAAUUAUUGGGCGUAAAGGGCUCGUAGGCGGUUUGUCGCGUCGGGAGUGAAAUCCACUGGCUUAACUGGUGGCUUGCUUUCGAUACGGGCAGACUGGAGGUAUGCAGGGGAGAACGGAAUUCCUGGUGUAGCGGUGAAAUGCGCAGAUAUCAGGAGGAACACCGGUGGCGAAGGCGGUUCUCUGGGCCAUUACUGACGCUGAGGAGCGAAAGCGUGGGGAGCGAACAGG
RNAcentral lists this ribosomal RNA (253 nucleotides) under uncultured bacterium. RNAcentral's name for it is "partial 16S ribosomal RNA". It matches the Rfam family "Bacterial small subunit ribosomal RNA", at positions 524 to 776 of the family's 1533-position model. The record is from RNAcentral.